Molecule: long non-coding RNA, 707 nt
Organism: Cavia porcellus (domestic guinea pig)
Lineage: Eukaryota; Metazoa; Chordata; Mammalia; Rodentia; Caviidae
Exons: 2
Source: RefSeq, a predicted model, not a curated record
GGGACCGGCGAGGUGGCACAGGGAGGGCUUCCUGCCUUCGGGUCUCCCUGGCUUCCUGCGCCCUGGGAAGGUCCAGGAGCCUGCAGAGGGACAUCCGAGACCCACUGGGCCUUUGCCCGGGUGCCUGUCUUGGGGUGACCCUGGCAACACUGGGGCCCUCUGUUCACAGACGUGUGAUGGGGCAGGCGAGAUCAGGCGAGGUAGUUAGCACCACCACGUGAACCCCAAGUCCCACGCCAGCGGCCUACACCGACCCACCCGUUCUCGGGGGCCCAUGCCACCUGAACAAGACCAGGACGCAGAGCCGGGCUCACGGGGCUGCAGCACAGACACUGCCAGGUGCUCUGUCACAGAUGCCAGGCUGGGAGAGGUGAUGUUCUUGGGGUGGACGCGGUGGACAUGGGGGCCAAGAGCGCCACAGAAGCAAGCGCCCCAAAGCAGGAGGCAGGGAGCUGGGACACUGAUUACCCGCGCGCCUGCAGCCACGUCUUUCACCACUGUGGCUCUCUCCGGCCCCUGCUUCUGUUUGUCGUAGAAAAAGAAGAAAAGAAGUGGGCUGUCAAAAUACCCUGCCGCGGGAGCUGCCACCGCUGCCACCGGCUGCCAGCACGCGCCCGGGCUGCUUAAAUGACAUUAGAGAGAUUAAGCAAACACGCAGGAUAAUGGCCGAGCUAAUGCUAAUUGAAUAAAAUCGGAAUGUGAAAUUA